UAGGGAAUCUUCGGCAAUGGGGGCAACCCUGACCGAGCAACGCCGCGUGAGUGAAGAAGGUUUUCGGAUCGUAAAGCUCUGUUGUAAGUCAAGAACGGGUGUGAGAGUGGAAAGUUCACACUGUGACGGUAGCUUACCAGAAAGGGACGGCUAACUACGUGCCAGCAGCCGCGGUAAUACGUAGGUCCCGAGCGUUGUCCGGAUUUAUUGGGCGUAAAGCGAGCGCAGGCGGUUUGAUAAGUCUGAAGUUAAAGGCUGUGGCUCAACCAUAGUUCGCUUUGGAAACUGUCAAACUUGAGUGCAGAAGGGGAGUGUGGAAUUCCAUGUGUAGCGGUGAAAUGCGUAGAUAUAUGGAGGAACACCGGUGGCGAAAGCGGCUCUCUGGUCUGUAACUGACGCUGAGGCUCGAAAGCGUGGGGAGCGAACAGG
RNAcentral lists this ribosomal RNA (429 nucleotides) under bacterium. RNAcentral describes it as "partial 16S ribosomal RNA". It matches the Rfam family "Bacterial small subunit ribosomal RNA", at positions 355 to 776 of the family's 1533-position model. The record is from RNAcentral.